RNA transcript from Brienomyrus brachyistius, 1717 nucleotides. It is a transcript of the gene named dehydrogenase/reductase SDR family member 7-like, with no coding region annotated. The transcript has 11 exons. The record is from RefSeq and is a predicted model, not a curated record. NCBI's taxonomy places the organism in Eukaryota, Metazoa, Chordata, Actinopteri, Osteoglossiformes, Mormyridae.
CAAUAUGAGAUGCUUUUGGGGUUAUGAGGACGUCUGGUCUUGACGUGAGACGCUAAUGAAUAUAAAUGGCCAAAAUGCAUUAUAGGCGGUUUUAAGCCAAUUUAUUUGUAUUUUCUGAAUUCAUACAUCAGGACUAUACGAAGAAGCAACAAUUCGCAUUUUUUUGUGCACAUAUAAGGUUUUUACGGCCGUUUGUAACGUGAAUAACGAACCGUAAACUAACUUUGCCGACGUCAAUUAAGGGGCGUGGGAAAACGGCAAUAUUACUUCCCGUACUACGCCGUACUUCCGGAUUGGUUUAUUUUUUGUUUUCGCGCCCGAUCAAUGGAUUGCUGUGUGGCGACCUUGCUGUGCCUCGGCACAGCGCUGUACUUGCUCGUUCAGGUGAUUCGUUUCAUCUUUGCGGACGCCGAUCUGACUUUGCUCUGGAUGGUGACGUUUGGAAAGACGCCAGAGAGUACAUUGCGGGGAAAGGUGGUUUGGAUUACAGGGGCUUCCAGCGGCAUAGGAAAGGAGCUGGCCUGUCAGCUAGCAAGCCUGGGGGCUCGCCUGAUCAUCUCCGGCACGCGGGAGGUUGAGCUGCAGAAGGUGAAGAACCAUUGUUUGGAGCUCGGCAGUUUGAAGGAAGGGGACGUUUUGGUCCUUCCCUUUGACUUGCUGGAGCGAGACACUCAUGCUGCCAAAACGAGGGUCGCGAUACAGCACUUUGGCAAUAUUGACAUCCUGAUCAACAAUGGGGGGCGCAGUCAGCGCUCCCUGUUCCAGGACACGAAUCUGGAAGUUAUCCAGGCCCUGAUGGACAUCAACUAUCUGGGCAGCGUGUCGGUCACCAAGCACGUCUUGCCACACAUGAUGCAGCAGGGCACCGGCACCCUGGUAGCGGUCAGCAGUGUGGUGGGGCUGGCGGGGGCACCCCUGGUCACUGGCUACUCUGCUAGCAAGCAUGCCCUGCAGGGUUUUUUCAACUCGCUGCGCACUGAGCUGGCAGACUACCCCGGGAUCACCAUAAGCACUGUAUGUCCGGGGCCUGUGCAGUCUGGUAUCGUCCAAAAUGCCUUCACCGAGGAAUUACAUCGGCCGGUAGCUGUCGCAGGAGAACAGAGCCACAAGAUGGCCACCUCGCGGUGCGUACGCUUGAUGUUGGUGGGCAUAGCCAAUCAGGUCAAGGAGAUGUGGAUCGGUCAGCAGCCGUUCCUGCUCAUGCCCUACCUAUGGCAGUAUGCACCCACCUGGGCCUGGAGUAUCACUGGCAUGUUGGGUAAAAGGAGAAUGGAGAACUUCAAGGCUGGACUGGCUUUCCUAACGUCAUUGGAGCCAUUGACUGUACACAUGUGAGGAUAAAGGCUCCAGCAGGUCCAACAGAGCCUGAUUACAUAAACCGCAAAUCAUAUCACAGUAUUAAUGUACAGAUGGUACAGUGUAUGCACUGCUGAACAUCUCAUUUCAAACGUUGCGGCAAAAUGGCCAAGGAAUUUUUCCUGGCGUGUUGCUUGGUGACAGAGGGUACCCAUGCUUAUUGCUGUACAAUACCUGAGGUGGGCCCCGGGUUGCUGGAGGAUGCGGAUUCCUCUUACUUUACAAAGCCCAAGACGUCCUGAGGCCUUUUUUUCAUUUUGUUUGUUUGUUUAAAUCAAGAAAAGCUUGGCCUCUCUGUCACCGUGGUGCUUUUCCUGUUACUUAAAUGUUGAAAUCAGAAUAAAAAUGGUUCAAAGGCUGA